UGGGGAAUUUUGGACAAUGGGCGAAAGCCUGAUCCAGCAAUGCCGCGUGUGUGAAGAAGGCCUUCGGGUUGUAAAGCACUUUUGUCCGGAAAGAAAUCCUUGGCUCUAAUACAGUCGGGGGAUGACGGUACCGGAAGAAUAAGCACCGGCUAACUACGUGCCAGCAGCCGCGGUAAUACGUAGGGUGCAAGCGUUAAUCGGAAUUACUGGGCGUAAAGCGUGCGCAGGCGGUUUGCUAAGACCGAUGUGAAAUCCCCGGGCUCAACCUGGGAACUGCAUUGGUGACUGGCAAGCUAGAGUAUGGCAGAGGGGGGUAGAAUUCCACGUGUAGCAGUGAAAUGCGUAGAGAUGUGGAGGAAUACCGAUGGCGAAGGCAGCCCCCUGGGCCAAUACUGACGCUCAUGCACGAAAGCGUGGGGAGCAAACAGGAUUAGAUACCCUGGUAGUCCACGCCCUAAACGAUGUCAACUAGUUGUUGGGGAUUCAUUUCCUUAGUAACGUAGCUAACGCGUGAAGUUGACCGCCUGGGGAGUACGUCGCAAGAUUAAAACUCAAAUGAAUUGACGGGGUCAUAGCUGUUUCC
This 583-nucleotide ribosomal RNA is filed under the name uncultured bacterium. Its description in RNAcentral is "partial 16S ribosomal RNA". It matches the Rfam family "Bacterial small subunit ribosomal RNA", at positions 355 to 937 of the family's 1533-position model. The record is from RNAcentral.